Long non-coding RNA from Setaria italica (foxtail millet), 945 nucleotides. RefSeq lists it as uncharacterized. Lineage: Eukaryota; Viridiplantae; Streptophyta; Magnoliopsida; Poales; Poaceae. The transcript has 8 exons. The record is from RefSeq and is a predicted model, not a curated record.
CUUCUUGAAGUGGCAACUAGUCAAGAACAAGGCGGCGGAGAUGGUCGAAGAGAUGGCCAACAACAUUCCCGAGCUUAAGGACAGGCUGCAUUUCCCUCGCGGCCCGAACAACCUGCACCACGUUGCGCCCAUUGGAUCCAGCUUUCAUCGAAGGCGUAUUGCGAAGAACUUAUGACGGCAACAAUCAACCGAUCUUGCCCAGUUCUAUCUUCAGCUGAAGAAGAGGCUGCCUUCUUCAAUUCAGGGGGGAAGUACUGUUUUUUCAGGAUCAGAAACGAUACAAAAGGAGCCAUUGAUUGCACUACUUGAGAAAGCUUUGCAAGCUGGUAGGCAUUCAUUGCUUGAGCAAGGCCGUCCCCCUGAAUAUCCUUUCAAAGAAGGUUUUCCGCUCGUGAAGAUGUUCGCUUUGCCCCCAUUCAUGGCCAAACCCCUCAGAGGCCAAGUACGUCAACCUGAACAUUCAUCGAAACAAGAUGCUCCAGAGUUCUGCUGUCGUCACAUAUAUAGAAACUCGCAACCCCCCCUGAAUAUCCUUCCAAAGAAGUUCUGGAGAGCAGGCAAGGCUACCAACUCGGUGGCGGUGACCUCUGUCUGACUAAAUGCUGGCAUUGGCGUUGCUCGGGUGCUGAUCAGUUGAAGUGAAGAGACCUUUUAUUACCUUGCAUGAAGGAACUUAGUGAGUUAGUGCCAUGAAUCUGUCGGAAUAAGUUAGCAUGGCUUUGCCAGUACUACCCGGGGCUUUGAGCCACCUGGAACCGGAGCAGAAGAAACAGUUAAAUAGAGUAUAGGGCACCUCGCAGUUCUUGAAGCAUGCCGAGUUCUAUUUUCCUUCACAGCUUGUUUAUAACCAGGAGCAGCUUUCGGAAGCUCUUGGAUAUUGUCACCUGUAAAUAACUAAAUAUUGACCGGCCGGUAAAGAUGGUCAAGCGUCUAGCACGAGCAAAC